RNAcentral lists this ribosomal RNA (497 nucleotides) under uncultured bacterium. Its description in RNAcentral is "partial 16S ribosomal RNA". It matches the Rfam family "Bacterial small subunit ribosomal RNA", at positions 28 to 507 of the family's 1533-position model. The record is from RNAcentral.
GAUGAACGCUGGCGGCGUGCCUAAUACAUGCAAGUCGAGCGAACGGACGAGACGCUUGCUUUUCUGAUGUUAGCGGCGGACGGGAGAGUAACACGUGGAUAACCUACCUAUAAGACUGGGAUAACUUCGGGAAACCGGAGCUAAUACCGGAUAAUAUUUUGCACCGCAUGGUUCAAAAGUGAAAGACGGUCUUGCUGUCACUUAUAGAUGGAUCCGCGCUGCAUUAGCUAGUUGGUAAGGUAACGGCUUACCAAGGCAACGAUGCAUAGCCGACCUGAGAGGGUGAUCGGCCACACUGGAACUGAGACACGGUCCAGACUCCUACGGGAGGCAGCAGUAGGGAAUCGUCCGCAGUGGGCGAAAGCCUGACGGAGCAACGGCGCGUGAGUGAUGAAGGUCUUCGGAGCGUAAAACUCUGUUAUUAGGGAAGAACAUAUGUGUAAGUAACUGUGCACAGCUUGACGGUACCUAAUCAGAAAGCCACGGCUAACUACGUG